Molecule: long non-coding RNA, 1777 nt
Filed under: Homo sapiens (human)
Lineage: Eukaryota; Metazoa; Chordata; Mammalia; Primates; Hominidae
Description: long intergenic non-protein coding RNA 635
Source: RNAcentral
AUAGCAACAGCAGCGUAGCUGAACAUCUUACGGAUGGCCCAGGGCUCCAAAGGCUCGUUUCCUAAGUGAGAGAGAGCCUGGCUGAAGCUGUAUUACCAUUCAUUCUCCAGCCUCCGAAGUCUCAAAGCAUCACUUCCACCAUACUCUAACUGUCAAGACAAACACAAAGGCCCAGAAACUGCCAGACUGUCUUCUGAAGUGGCUAUAAUAUUUACACUCCCAUCAGCAGUGUAGAAGGGGUCUCACUAUGUUGUCUGGAGUGCUGUGGUGGAGUGGAGUGGCUAUUCACAGCUGAGUUUGCAGAGUAAACCACUACCCUGAAAUCUGGAAAGGCAGGUGCACCCACAGAUCCUCAGCUGAGAUCCAAUUACCUGAAAUAGAAGCUGCCAUUAGGAACACUUAAAAGAGCCUGUUCUGCUGGGACACAGAAUCACUUGCUCCAUCUCAUACAUUGAUGAUGAUUAAUUUGUAUGUGUACCUUCCAAAAAAGAUGGUUGUGUUUGAAUGGAGGCCUUCUGGACAGGAAAAUUGCAAAGUACAAUUAACAUUUGAGUCUGUCUGAGUCAUGAAGAAAUGGAGAUUACUGAAAAUAAUUCAUUUUGGUAUCUUCUUACAUCCUGAGAGACUAAUCUUUCCAAGUUCAUCUGAGGCUCCUCUUCUCCAUGACAACCUCAUCCAGGGAUUUCUUCCUGUCCUGGUGUUUUAUGACAUGUGGAAGGGGACUGUAGCAGGUGAUCUCCAAAGUCUCUGGAGACUUACUAAUGUGCAUCCUCAUCUCGCUUGUAAGGAUAAUAGCCUUCCUCCAAACCUCACACACUUUUGGAGGAGAUCACUUUUUUUAAAGUGCAUGGAAAUGUUUUGAAACAGUGAAAUCUAUAAUGAUAGGUUUCAUAAUUCUAACAUCCACACCAUAUGAAUCACAUCCUUCCUGAGAUAAUGAGCACACAAUUGCCUGGAUACCUGAAGGAAUGGAGACAGCGGCAGAAAACACUGCAGAGAGGUGGAAACAUCCGUUAAUAUUUUAAAAUCCCAUUACUGCUACCAACAAUAAUAAUGGAUGCAUAGAAAUAGAUCUGGAUUAGCUGAGCUUGAAACAGUCCAUCUCACACACACACAAAAGAAUUUCAGAUACAGUGAACCCACAUGUUGAAGCUUUCUAGUAUAAUAAAAAUUUCAACUGUUCUGUUGAAUCAUCUGCCUGAUUGGAGGCUACAGAAAAGAUGUCAUCUUAGGAGUGCUUGCUCUGAGUGAGGCUCAUCUUCAAAUCUGAAUGACCACAAGGAGAUUUGAUUAUACAUGUGAACACCUCAGAAGGCACAGCCCACCCAGAAGGCAGACAGGUCAGGCUGCUUUUUCUUCAUUGCUUGGAUUCAAUCCUCCGGGCGGCUCAGGCUCAAACAUAACUUAAGCAUGAUUAAACUUUAGAAGAAGCUGCCAGGAAGACUGUGAAAUCUUCAUGCCCAAGGAUCCCUAAAAUUAGGAGCAACAACCACUUGGCUCAGACGGUUUAUGGAGGCAAAGGUUUGGAUGGGAUUAGAGAUUUCUAAAUGUGAGUUCGUGUCCUCUGCCAGACCACCUUACUUCCACCAUUCCUCAGCAAAUCAAGAAAAACAGGAGAAAAGACAUGCCUUUCCAUAAGUUAAAUCUAUUCUGUUUUAAUUCUAUAUUAUAUCUGCUGUACAACUUCUUUUGUUUGUAACACCAUAUUGUUGCUAGUAACUGGAAAUUAAUUUUCACAUGCCUCAGCUUAGAAAAAUAAAAAGCAGCCCUGCAUCAA